GCGGCAGGCUUAACACAUGCAAGUCGAGGGCAGCGAGAGAGUAGCUAAUACUUUGUCGGCGACCGGCGGACGGGUGCGUAACGCGUAUGCAACCUACCUUAUACAGGGGGAUAACCUUUCGAAAGGGAGACUAAUACCGCAUAACAUUACUUUGAGGCAUCUUGAGGUAAUUAAAUCUUCGGAGGUAUAAGAUGGGCAUGCGUAGCAUUAGCUAGAUGGUGCGGUAACGGCGUACCAUGGCGACGAUGCUUAGGGGUUCUGAGAGGAAGGUCCCCCACACUGGUACUGAGAUACGGACCAGACUCCUACGGGAGGCAGCAGUGAGGAAUAUUGGUCAAUGGUCGGAAGACUGAACCAGCCAUGCCGCGUGCAGGAAGAAUGUCUUAUGGAUUGUAAACUGCUUUUGUUAUGGGGGCUAAUAAUAACUUUGCGAAGUUAGAUGCAGGUACCAUACGAAUAAGGAUCGGCUAACUCCGUG
RNAcentral lists this ribosomal RNA (478 nucleotides) under uncultured bacterium. RNAcentral describes it as "bacterial SSU rRNA". It matches the Rfam family "Bacterial small subunit ribosomal RNA", at positions 39 to 507 of the family's 1533-position model. The record is from RNAcentral.